ACAACUUUCAGCGACGGAUGUCUCGGCUCAAGCAACGAUGAAGGGCGCAGCGAAGUGUGAUAAACAUUGUGAAUUGCAGAAUUCCGUGAACCAAUAGAACUUUGAACGUAUCUUGCGCUGCCAGGAUAUCCCUGACAGCAUGCCUGCUUCAGUGUCUGU
Molecule: ribosomal RNA, 159 nt
Filed under: Borghiella sp.
Lineage: Eukaryota; Dinophyceae; Suessiales; Borghiellaceae
Description: 5.8S ribosomal RNA
Rfam family: 5.8S ribosomal RNA
About the family: 5.8S ribosomal RNA (5.8S rRNA) is a component of the large subunit of the eukaryotic ribosome. It is transcribed by RNA polymerase I as part of the 45S precursor that also contains 18S and 28S rRNA.
Source: RNAcentral